RNAcentral lists this ribosomal RNA (255 nucleotides) under uncultured bacterium. RNAcentral's name for it is "partial 16S ribosomal RNA". It matches the Rfam family "Bacterial small subunit ribosomal RNA", at positions 526 to 779 of the family's 1533-position model. The record is from RNAcentral.
CGGAAGGUCCGGGUGUUAUCCGGAUUUAUUGGGUUUAAAGGGGAGCGUAGGCCGGAGAUUAAGCGUGUUGUGAAAUGUAGACGCUCAACGUCUGCACUGCAGCGCGAACUGGUUUCCUUGAGUACGCACAAAGUGGGCGGAAUUCGUGGUGUAGCGGUGAAAUGCUUAGAUAUCACGAAGAACUCCGAUUGCGAAGGCAGCUCACUGGAGCGCAACUGACGCUGAAGCUCGAAAGUGCGGGUAUCGAACAGGAUU